This 1451-nucleotide ribosomal RNA is filed under the name uncultured Bordetella sp. RNAcentral describes it as "partial 16S-23S ribosomal RNA intergenic spacer". It matches the Rfam family "Bacterial small subunit ribosomal RNA". Lineage: Bacteria; Pseudomonadati; Pseudomonadota; Betaproteobacteria; Burkholderiales; Alcaligenaceae. The record is from RNAcentral.
GGUUCGAUUCUGGCUCCAGAUUGAACGCUGGCGGGAUGCUUUACACAUGCAAGUCGAACGGCAGCCCGGAACUGGUGCAGAUGGCGGCGAGUGGCGAACAGGUGAGUAAUGUAUCGGAACGUGCUAGUAGCGAGGGAUAACUACGCGAAAGCGUAUGUACCGCAUACGCCCUUCGGGGAAAGCAGGGGACCUUCGGGCCUCUGCUGCUGACAUCAAGAGCGGCCGAUAUCGGAUUAGCUAGUUGGUGGGUAACAGCUCCGCAAGGCGACGAUCCGUAGCUGGUUUGAAGGACGACCAGCCACACUGGGACUGAGACACGGCCCAGACUCCUGGGGAGGGGGCAGCAGUGAAAUUUUGGACAAUGGGAAACCCCAGUCAGCCAUCCGCGUGUGCGAUGAGGCCUUCGGGUUGUAAAGCACUUUUGGCAGGAAAGAAGCGGCACGAAGGAUAAUACCCGUACGCUGACAAGUACCUGCAGAAUAAGCACCGGCUAACCACGUGCCAGCAGCCGCGGUAAUACGUAGGGUGCAAGCGUUAAUCGGAAUACUGGGCGUAAAGCGUGCGCGAGCGGUUCCGGAAAAGAAAGAUGUGAAAUCCCCAGAGCUUAACUUUGGAACUGCAUUUUUAACUGCCGAGCUGGUGUCAGAGGGAGGUGGAAUUCCGUAGCGAUGAAGCCGUAGAUAUGCGGAGGAACACCGAUGGCGAAGGCAGCCUCUAGGAUAACACUGACGCUCAUGCACGAAAGCGACGGGGGCAAACAGUUAGAUACCCUGGUAGUCCACGCCCUAAACGAUGUCAACUAGCUGUUGGGGCCUUCGGGCCUUGGUGGCGCAGCUAACGCGUGAAGGUGUGCCUGGUGAUUACGGUCGCAGAUUUAAAACUCAAAGAAUUGACGGGGACCGCACAAGCGGUGGAUGAUGUGGAUUAAUUCGAUGUAACGCGAAAAACCUUACCUACCCUUGACAUGUCUGGAAUCCCGAGAUUUGGGAGUGCUCGCAAAGAGAACCGAACGCAGGUUUUUUUGGCUGUCGUCAGCUCGUGUCGUGAGAUGUUGGGUUAAGUCCGCAACGAGCGCAGCCCUUGUCAUUGGAUUGCACGAGGGCACUCUAAUGAGACUGCCGGUGACAAACCGGAGGAAGGUGAGAUGACGUCAAGUCCUCAUGGCCCUUAUGGGUAGGGCUUCACACGUCAUACAAUGGUCGGGACAGAGGGUCGCCAACCGCGAGGGGGUAAUCCCAGAAACCCGAUCGUAGUCCGGAUCGCAGUCUGCAACUCGACUGCGUGAAGUCGGAAUCGCUAGUAAUCGCGGAUCAGCAUGUCGCGGUGAAUACGUUCCCGGAAUGUGCACCGCCCCGUCACACCAUGGGAGUGGGUUUUACCAGAAGUAGUUAGCUAACCGUAAGGAGGGCGAUUACGGUAGGAUUCAUGACUGGGGUAGAAUAACAAGAUGG